GGUCUGUUGGCUCAGCGGUAGAGCACAUCUUCACAUCGAUGGGGUCAAUGGUUUGAGUCUAACACAGACCA
RNAcentral lists this transfer RNA (71 nucleotides) under Clostridiales bacterium. Its description in RNAcentral is "tRNA-Val". It matches the Rfam family "tRNA". Rfam says of the family: Transfer RNA (tRNA) molecules are approximately 80 nucleotides in length. Their secondary structure includes four short double-helical elements and three loops (D, anti-codon, and T loops). The record is from RNAcentral. Lineage: Bacteria; Bacillati; Bacillota; Clostridia; Eubacteriales.